RNAcentral lists this ribosomal RNA (437 nucleotides) under uncultured bacterium. Its description in RNAcentral is "bacterial SSU rRNA". It matches the Rfam family "Bacterial small subunit ribosomal RNA", at positions 8 to 445 of the family's 1533-position model. The record is from RNAcentral.
AGAGUUUGAUCCUGGCUCAGAUUUGAACGCUGGCGGCAUGCCUUACACAUGCAAGUCGAACGGCAGCACGGGGGCAACCCUGGUGGCGAGUGGCGAACGGGUGAGUAAUACAUCGGAACGUGUCCUGUAGUGGGGGAUAGCCCGGCGAAAGCCGGAUUAAUACCGCAUACGCUCUACGGAGGAAAGGGGGGGAUCUUAAGGACCUCUCGCUACAGGGGCGGCCGAUGGCAGAUUAGCUAGUUGGUGGGGUAAAGGCCUACCAAGGCGACGAUCCGUAGCUGGUUCUGAAAAGACAACAGCCACACUGGGACUGAGACACGGCCCAGACUCCUACGGGAGGCAGCAGUGGGGAAUUUUGGACAAUGGGCGCAAGCCUGAUCCAGCAAUGCCGCGUGUGUGAAGAAGGCCUUCGGGUUGUAAAGCACUUUUGUCCGGAA